This 565-nucleotide ribosomal RNA is filed under the name uncultured Glomeromycotina. RNAcentral describes it as "SSU rRNA". It matches the Rfam family "Eukaryotic small subunit ribosomal RNA", at positions 548 to 1114 of the family's 1831-position model. Lineage: Eukaryota; Fungi; Glomeromycota. The record is from RNAcentral.
UUGGAGGGCAAGUCUGGUGCCAGCAGCCGCGGUAAUUCCAGCUCCAAUAGCGUAUAUUAAAGUUGUUGCAGUUAAAAAGCUCGUAGUUGAAUUUUGGGUCUGGCCGGGCGGUCCGCCCUCCGGGUGAGCACUGUUCCGACGCCGGGCCUAUCCUUCUGGUGAGUCGGCAUGUCCUUUGUUGGGUGUGUCGGGGAACCAGGACCAUUACCUUGAAAAAAUUAGAGUGUUCAAAGCAGGCGUAUGCUCGGAUACAUUAGCAUGGAAUAAUGAAAUAGGACGCGUGGUGCUAUUUUGUUGGUUUCUAGAACCGCUGUAAUGAUUAAUAGGGAUAGUUGGGGGCAUUAGUAUUCAAUUGUCAGAGGUGAAAUUCUUGGAUUUAUUGAAGACUAACUUCUGCGAAAGCAUUUGCCAAGGAUGUUUUCAUUAAUCAAGAACGAAAGUUAGGGGAUCGAAGACGAUCAGAUACCGUCGUAGUCUUAACCAUAAACUAUGCCGACUAGGAAUCGGGCGGUGUUAUUCUCAUGACUCGCCCGGCGCCUUAUGGGAAACCAAAGUGUUUGGGUUC